CCGUAGGGUGCGAGCGUUCAUCUUAAUUCCUCGGCGUAAAGCGUGCGCAGGCGGUUUUAUAAGUCAGAUGUGCAAUCCCCGGGCUCAACCUGGGAACUGCAUUUGAGACUGUAUGACUAGAGUGUGGCAGAGGGGGGUGGAAUUCCACGUGGAGCAGUGAAAUGCGUAGAGAUGUGGAGGAACACCGAUGGCGAAGGCAGCCCCCUGGGCAAAUACUGACGCUCAUGCACGAAAGCGUGGGGAGCAAACAG
Molecule: ribosomal RNA, 251 nt
Filed under: uncultured prokaryote
Description: partial 16S rRNA
Rfam family: Bacterial small subunit ribosomal RNA
Source: RNAcentral